Molecule: non-coding RNA, 5348 nt
Organism: Anas platyrhynchos (mallard)
Lineage: Eukaryota; Metazoa; Chordata; Aves; Anseriformes; Anatidae
Source: RefSeq, a predicted model, not a curated record
AACCACACCUCUGCCAGCAGCCAGCAGGCAGAAACCUCCGGGCUCUGCCAGUGCCGUUCCUGUCCGGGGGAUGCUUCGGGGCACUGGGAGAUGCCCAGCCAGGCCCCAGGUCUCCGAUGCUUCCUUCCUGCCAGAUCGCAAAGUUGGACGUCUCAGGUUUUCAGAAAAUCCUCCUGGUUUCCCUGCCUCUGGUGUGUGGAGUCAGAGCCAGGCAUGCAGGAGCCAGCAGUGAGAGGUGUUUGGUUCUGGACAUCACAGAGUGAGCCUGACGUGGAGGAGGAGAACAGAGGAGCCUCAGACCAGCUGCUUUUUUCCUUGCCUUUCCUUCCCACACAGGGACGCUUGAGGAGCAGCACCUGCAAAGGAAAUUUUCUGCUUUCCACAUUUCUGAAGAGUUCGUUUGGCUUUUCCACCCCCCAUCAGAGGUUUCCAAGAGCACUACGUGAUGGUCAGUAAGCAAACUUGGAUGAAUGCGUUGGGGUGGCAGCGGUGCAUGUUUCAGGCUGAGACACGGGAAGCACGUCUCAAUGCGACUGCACGACACAACUGGUAAGUUGUAAGGUGGUGGAACCUGCGUCUUGGUGGGGCAAAAAAACAGGUAGGCAUGGGGCAGGUUUAGAAAGUCAUUAAAAGUGUCACUGAGCUGUAGCAAAAGUUAUGUCCAAGCAUGCAUCAAAAAAAAAAAAAAAAAAAGCUGUGCCUGGGCAGGCUGAUGUGGCAGGCUGUUACCAGCAGUAUCAGGACCGUGCCUGACUGGAGUGAAAGGCACAUGGGCGUUAAAAGGGAUGGAAAGUUGGAAUGUUUUAUGGAGCAUAAACAGUGAUGAAGCCUUUGACCACCCCACAGUGCCAACUUGCUCAGACUCCUCUUUCUGAGCUAUUUAGGAGGCACGGGGGAGAUCCCUCAUAAACAUCCAGACAAGGGGAUGCCUGGACCAGGCAGGUGGGGGUCUGGGGAGGUUGGAAGCGAAGGCCCCUGGGCUUCCCUGGGCUGAGCUCAUCCUCAAGCAGCCACCAGCUUUGCUACCCUCCCUCUGCCCCUGAGCAGCGCCCGGCGGCAGCGGUGAAGCAGGAGGCGCCGCUCACUGCCCAGCAAGGCUUCUGGCAGCGCGUGGAACAGCUUGGGAGGGUGAGGUGGUACCUUCCAAAAAACAAACCCAAAGCAGUGCUGUCAGCGUGGUUUGGGGGCCGAGUUUUUAUUAUUAUUGUUGUUGUAUUUUCUUUAUGAACCUGUAAAGGUGAGGUAGAGCUUCUGAAGGCAGAAGGAAGUCAGUCCUUGGAAUAAUAAAUAAAUAGACUGCUGGAAGAGGUGGCACUAAACUCUGAGUGCCAAAGUUGUUGUGUUUGGCAAAAUUGGUGGUAGACUGGAGGAAACACAUGAAACCUAACCAAGCACACUGUUAGAGCUGUCUCUGGGUUGCAGAAAAGGGGGCAGGAAGCAGGGGAGAUUUCUUUUGGUUUGAUUUUUUCUGCUGGCACUGGGUAGAAGUGAGAAUUUUGGGGUGACGAAACUUGACUGGGACAUUGCAUCUUGCUGAAAUAAAUUCAUGUUGCUGCAGGGACUCUGCAGCUUUGGGGGACAGCUGUCUAAGGUAGAAUACCUCGUUCAAAAGUUUCUGAGAACUUGCUAGAAGAAGAAUGCUGAGGGAUGGGGGGGGUGUUGGUAAUAAGAAAGAAGGUCCUGUAGAAGAGAAAGCAAAUGUGUGGUUGUAGCUGUGCUGUGCACGUCUCCCAUCCCAGUCCAAGCUCCCACCACGUUACAAGAUGAAGGCAAAGGACAGGGUGGCACCAGAUACACCUCGUAAAGAGCUUAUUCUCUUUUAUAAGGAUAAAUACAUGAUUAAGAGCUCUAACAGUCACGAGUAAUGGCUGAGGGAUGGCUGCAUGCUCUCCAGUACAGAGAGCCAUUAUACUUGGGUGUUUUUACAGCCGGUAGACUAGGGAAAUGCUCCAGUGGCCUUCAGGAACCACCUCUGGGCAGAGCUCUCCUGCAGAAACACAAAUGAGGCUUACCUAAAAACUUGGAAGGGCAAUCUCUACAAAAACUGAUAACAGAAAAAAGAAAAAAAAAAGAAAACAGAAACCAACAAACAAAAAAAUAAACAUACAAAAAAGGCAAGUAAGAUAGCAAGUUCUGGAAGAGGGAGAGUCACUGCUCUAGAAGAGGAGCAGCAGGAGGAUUUUUUAUAGGUUUGGAGGAUGAACUGGCAGUGCUGGAGGAGGAUCUAUCCUGGAAGCCCAGCAGUUCUGCUAGAUCUUAAUGUUAGCUGCAGCACGAUCAGGCCUAAAAAUGUAGGAUGAAACUUUAUUUUUUAACACUUGUCAUAGGCCUACUUCUGUUCCCACUCCUCCUCUGAAGCUGAACUGCCAGCAGGCUCAGCAUGUGACGAUAGGUGUUCUUAGGCAUGCACUGUAUGUAAUUUAAAUCUCUGCUUAAAGUCAUCUAAGGGACAUCAGCGGUCUACUUGGUGAUGACCUAUUUACUUUAAAGCUACUGCUUAGUACAAAACCCAUGCACGCUGAUCAUUGAAACAUUAAUUACAUAUCAUGCUCUCUUCCCAGACAGCCCGCUCCUUAGGGCUCCGUGUUCUGUCUCUGAAAUUACCUUGGAGGGAGAGAAAUUAUUUCCAAAUUGCUCCACAGAAUGCCUUGACAAUCAGUAUUUAUUCAUAUGUUACAUUUAAACAUAAAUAAUUGAGCAAUAAAGAGAAUAGUCUGCUCUUGACAAAAAUAAAUAAGUUAAUACACAAUAUUCAUAAAAUACAAUUAGACAGAACAUUUUAACAAAUACAACAAAGUUUGUAGAGGAUUUUUUUUUAAACAGUAGAGUGGUAUAGUACAUUCCCAACAAAAAAAAUAGUGCAGUUUUUAUUUUUUACAUCACUUUCUCAGGCUCUGUGAAUUGGAGGGCUUUUUCGCUCAUCAUUUUUUUUAAAUACUAUUUCACUUUUCAAGUGAACAGACAAACACACAAACUGAAGCGCUUUGGAGACCUUUCAGCAGCCAUGCACUGGCCUACAGAACAGUUUGAUGCACAGCUACAGGUAACGAGUUCAGGCUGUGAGCAUGCCUGCAGUACGACUUCUUGGCUUCUAAUCCUGAGCACACCCUAACUGUGGGAGCACGUGGCGGGAGGGGAGUAAAGCUUAUCAUAACUUUCUUCCUUCUGUAACUCCCACUGCGAUUAUUUUAGCACUGUUCUGUGUAGAAAGGGGGUUUCCUUCUAAACCGCCUCCUCCACAGUACCUUUUUCAGCAUUAUGUAGGCUCAUCUGUUCGCACUUGUUUUGUGACCAUGGUGCUUCUGAGCGUGGAGAACGACAGGUUUGAUCCCACAACAGCAGUGAAGGUGCGUGUGCCUACACCAGGGGCCUGAUGACCUGGUCUGGGGGGGGCAGGACUGAAGUGACGCAGGCUGUGUGACAACGGAGGGAGGGAUGGGUUGGGAUGGGUGUUUUUCUUUACCAUCCCAUCAAAUUUUCAGAGACCGGUUUAAGGGCUUGGUUAUGGAGCUGAAAAGCACUUUGUGUCCAUUUGGACUACUAUUCAUAUUAUUUAUUUUCAUAAGAAGAGAUCUAAUCACAGAUGCUCAUUCUAGAACCAAAUCCCUCUUGCACGUGCAAGUAAUGCUUGGCUCAUGAGGCCCCAAAGGCAGUACAAAUGUAGUGCAAAAAGCAAGAGGAAACUGCUCACUGUUUGUGCAAUAAUGAGAGCAGAGUCACCUCUCAGGAUUUAAAUCUUCAGAGUAAUUUGAUUUCCUACACCCAUUUUGCUAAAAAUCUGAUUUUAGAAGCUCACAUGAGCUGAUCUAAUCAAUAUAAACUUCUUAAAAGCAGAGUUGAAAACUGUUUUCUCUAUGAGGUUCAAUGGAAACAAAGCUACGUAAACCUGCGUGCUCUGAUUUAAAAAAAAAAAAAAAGAGAUUCAAACACUCUUUUUUUCUCUUUUUUUUUUUUUCUUCUUCUAAAUCACUGAGGUUCUAAUAGCCAAGGGUGGAAUAGUUAAAGUGCUUAAGCUAAAUCACUAGGACUUCUAGGAGCACAGGUCACGUAUCCAUGAAAUCUACAGUUAACCCUAUUUGCAACAAAACUGCUCCUUCCCUUCAUCUCUUAUGCUAAUACAGAGAUACGCUUUUACUUAGAAACAACACCUACCCUGGGAAAGUAGUUCAGAGUAUACAUGAUAAAUGUUAUCUAGUGUGACGAAGUGCUAAGAUGGCAAUAGAUUUGUUUAAAGCUGCACAGCUGAGCCCCAGCUAACUCUAUGUCACCUUCGAUCUCUAUAGAGCACGGAUUAAAGCCUAUGCUGCUACUUAAAGCAUGCAGCCAAGCACAAGAAAGAAAUGGCACAGAACUGCCAUGGGGUGCAUGGAUGGCUCGACAAAACAGCACAGUGCUACAGCAAAAUGGAGCCUGUGCAACAAUUUGAACUGCUUAAUCUAGCAAGUACUGACACCUGCUUGAGUUAGUGAGUGCCUGGUUUGUGUUUGCAGGAUCCCAAGGAAAGUCCUCCCAGGAAGCUUUGCAGAGCGGGGAGGAGGAGGCUAGUAGUGAGCAGUGAAUAAACCGGAGGAGGGAAGCAGGAAUGCUGCUGUUUGUGUGCCAAGUAAGAUCUUCAGGAAGUAUUUGAAAAUCUGGGCUCUUCACUUCCAUGAAAAGCAACAUGAUUGAAGGGAUCAGAGUUGAUGCCAACCUCAUGACUACCUUAGGUGGCACUAACAAGAGAAUAUCCAUCAGUAGUGAGUACAGACUGAGUUAGAGCAUUCCCAGGUGCAAAUUCAGUCUAAGAAUCAACAAACCAGAAAUAGUAAAAUUAUGCUUUGGACUUACAAGAGCACUGAACUACUCAAUUACUGUCAAAAAUCCCAAGUAAACGGUGCAUAGUUUCUCUCACAAAUGUUCCAAGCCUGUCCUCUUUACAAAGGGUUAUGUCCAGAUGAGCAACUCCAACAGAGAAGUGAAAGAAAAAACUCCAUCUGUUAACAGCAACACUAAUAGACAUGGUGAUGUCUUGGAUCUUCAUUUAGGUUGUGGUUCAAUUUGAUUAAAUGGGGAUUUCAGCUUGAAUUAAAUGACACUGAAAUCUUACAAUUGGUAUCUUAUUCUCUCUUAAAAUUUUUAGCUACUAGAUCUUUACCAUGUUAUUUUCACUCUAAAAAGACACAAAAUUUUAUUGCUGUCUUAUAAUCUAUCUCAAAAUACAGAUGAAAUAAUUUGGAUGCAAAGAUCCUCAAUUAUCUUCCUACCACCUGCAGUUCUAGUUUGGGAUUGUCUCUCACUAAAUCCUAUCUGAAAUCCAGUACAAGUCUUUGCCAGAAAAAAAUUAUGAUAAAGAAGUUGUGACCUACUGU